This 484-nucleotide ribosomal RNA is filed under the name uncultured bacterium. Its description in RNAcentral is "partial 16S ribosomal RNA". It matches the Rfam family "Bacterial small subunit ribosomal RNA", at positions 29 to 507 of the family's 1533-position model. The record is from RNAcentral.
AUUGAACGCUGGCGGCAUGCUUUACACAUGCAAGUCGAACGGCAGCGCGGGCUUCGGCCUGGCGGCGAGUGGCGAACGGGUGAGUAAUGCAUCGGAACGUGCCCAGUAGUGGGGGAUAGCCCGGCGAAAGCCGGAUUAAUACCGCAUACGACCUGAGGGUGAAAGCGGGGGACCGAAAGGCCUCGCGCUAUUGGAGCGGCCGAUGUCGGAUUAGCUAGUUGGUGGGGUAAAGGCUUACCAAGGCGACGAUCCGUAGCUGGUCUGAGAGGACGACCAGCCACACUGGGACUGAGACACGGCCCAGACUCCGACGGGAGGCAGCAGUGGGGAAUUUUGGACAAUGGGGGCAACCCUGAUCCAGCCAUGCCGCGUGCGGGAAGAAGGCCUUCGGGUUGUAAACCGCUUUUGUUCGGGAAGAAAUCCUCUGGGCUAAUACCCCGGGAGGAUGACGGUACCGGAAGAAUAAGCACCGGCUAACUACGUG